This 402-nucleotide ribosomal RNA is filed under the name uncultured prokaryote. RNAcentral describes it as "bacterial SSU rRNA". It matches the Rfam family "Bacterial small subunit ribosomal RNA", at positions 355 to 774 of the family's 1533-position model. The record is from RNAcentral.
UGGGGAAUAUUGGGCAAUGGGCGAAAGCCUGACCCAGCAACGCCGCGUGAAGGAAGAAGGUUUUCGGAUCGUAAACUUCUAUCCUAGGUGAAGAUAAUGACGGUAGCCUAGAAGGAAGCCCCGGCUAACUACGUGCCAGCAGCCGCGGUAAUACGUAGGGGGCAAGCGUUGUCCGGAAUGAUUGGGCGUAAAGGGCGCGUAGGCGGCCUUCUAAGUCCGAUGUGAAAGUCCUGCUUUUAAGGUGGGAAUUGCAUUGGAAACUGGAGGGCUUGAGUGCAGGAGAGGUAAGUGGAAUUCCCGGUGUAGCGGUGAAAUGCGUAGAGAUCGGGAGGAACACCAGUGGCGAAGGCGACUUACUGGACUGUAACUGACGCUGAGGCGCGAAAGUGUGGGGAGCAAACA